RNAcentral lists this ribosomal RNA (440 nucleotides) under uncultured bacterium. RNAcentral describes it as "partial 16S ribosomal RNA". It matches the Rfam family "Bacterial small subunit ribosomal RNA", at positions 338 to 795 of the family's 1533-position model. The record is from RNAcentral.
CCUACGGGAGGCAGCAGUGGGGAAUAUUGCACAAUGGGGGAAACCCUGAUGCAGCGACGCCGCGUGAGUGAAGAAGUAUUUCGGUAUGUAAAGCUCUAUCAGCAGGGAAGAAAAUGACGGUACCUGAUUAAGAAGCCCCGGCUAACUACGUGCCAGCAGCCGCGGUAAUACGUAGGGGGCAAGCGUUAUCCGGAUUUACUGGGUGUAAAGGGAGCGUAGACGGCAGCGCAAGUCUGGAGUGAAAUGCCAGGGCUUAACCCCGGGACUGCUUUGGAAACUGUUCAGCUAGAGUGCAGGAGAGGUAAGUGGAAUUCCUAGGGUAGCGGUGAAAGGCGUAGAUAUUAGGAGGAACACCAGUGGCGAAGGCGGCUUGAUGGACUGUAACUGACGUUGAGGCUUGAAAGCGUGGGGAGCAAUCAGGAUUAGAUACCCCUGUAGUC